UCUCUCUCUUUCUAAACGUUUGCUCUCUAGAACCUUUUGGUUUUCUCCUUCUUCUCCGAUGAAACUCGUCGCCUCUCCGACCAUACUCCUCCCUCGCUUCUCUCGAUCUUCAGUCACCAUGGAACCCUCAUCAUCGUUGCUCACCUCUGAAACUUGAAGCCAAAGUCAUCUGCCAUGAAAGACUCACUGAAGCUUCACUUGGGUCUCUUUCUGGCUUUUCUCCUGUGGUCUUUUGUCCGAGAUGCCUUCUAUGGCAUCAUAUACGAGUUUCACGGCCAAGUUCUUCGUUUUCCCUAAUUUGUGUGCAAACCCUAAUUUUUUACUCAAACCUCUUUAAUCUCUACUCUUUUAAAACAACUCUCAGUUUGAUUUUGUUUUCUACUCUAUUUUACUUAGCGUUUCCGGUUACUUCAAACUUUAGAUGGUUACCACUCUUUCAAGUUAGGGUUUCUGACACCCUUCUUCAAAAUCGUUUCUCCUGCUCUUUCUGAGUAUUAUAUGUUCGUUUGCGUUUAUUUGUUUUACUUGUUUGUUUGGUUUCCUUGUUCACCUGGGUCCAUGCUUUAAUUUUUCCUUUGCUAGGGUUUCUGACCCUUUUUAAUCAUCAUGCUUCUAUUUCCUUUGGGUAUUACGUGAUUACUCCCAUGCUAUGUGGUUGAAACCUUUUGUUUUUUGAGUUCCAUGUCUCAAAUUUCUUCUAGGGUUCUGACCCCUACUGUUUUAUGCAAUUUUAUUGCUUAGGGUUCUUAGUCUUGCGAUUGUGUGCUUAAAUAAAUUCGAAUGCCUUUCUUCACCGAAUAUUAUGUUAAUUCCGAGCAUCUUUUGUAGGUGUUCUUACAUUGAUUUUUCAAAUUGUUUCCUUACUUAUGAGAUUGCUCUCCAUGUUUGGGACUGAUUCUCUCUUAUUUUUGUCUUGCCCGUAAUUCUUUGAUUGACUUCCAUGGUUAAUUUAUAUGGUUACCAUAAAUGUGCACUUAAUAUAUUUUUGGCUAUCCCACGUAUAUUUUUCCUUGUUUGAACCAUUGGUACCUAGACUCUAUUACAUGCAAUAUGCUUACCGCUUUUGUUAUGGUAUAAUCAGUCAUCAGAUUUAUUCUUUCCUUACUUGGUAGCCUAUACUCCUAUUCGAAUCAUGAGUCCCUGAUUAAUUUGAAUUAAGAUCCUGUGAUUGAUUCAAAUUGGUACCGUUCUAUAAUUAGGUACAUGUUACCCUAUUCUCUACUCUUUUUCAAAAAGCUAUAAGUACUACUCCUCUCUUCUCACUUGAGACACAGACACACUAAUACAAUUUCUCUAAACCUUCUUUCAAAAAACACACAUUGCAUAUCUCUUACAAGUUCAAACUCUCUGCAUUCUUUCUCUCUCUUUCUCUACUGUUACUACACUCUCUCAUUCUUCUAUUUGAACACUCAAUCGGCUGAAAGAAAAGAUUAAGUAAGCUUGUUUGUCUACUGCACUACUUGGAUUCUACUGCAUUAUUUGUUUGGGGUUUGCCUGUUGCUUGCCUCCCUGCACUGCUAUUCUCACAUUGCUACUCUCAUUCUCUGCACACUUUGCUCUCCCUUUGUGCAUUAUUGUUCAUUGCUAUUGUGUUCCAUUACCUGCAACUGGUAUGUCACCCAUUUAAGAUAUAGCCUCCAAAACAACAUGCUUCUAUUAGUUUUGCACUUCAUAUUAUUCUUGUGCGCUUUUACUAUGGUUCUAUUGCUUUUGUUGCCACUAGCAUGUAGUUGUUAGUCUACCUAGUUUAACUUAGCAUGUUUCUCCCUACCUCCUUUCCUUGUCUCAAUGUAUGUUUUCCUCUUCCAUGUGCACUACUUCUUGGCUACUUAAAAGCCCCGAAACCUCUCCCUGAGGUUGAUUAUAUUUGGGGUUUGGUGCAGUGAGAACUAAACCCUUGUUUUACAACCAUGUCUGAUUACUUUCCUCCAAUAUGUUGCCUGUACACUUUACUUAUUUGCUCCCUUACCCCCUCCCAUGUCUUAAUGAAUGUUUACUUUUUCCUUGUGUACUACUACCAUGCAUCCAUGUCUGCUUAGCUAUUUGGUUGGCUAAAACCCCUGUUUGAGGCUAAGUGUGUUAGAGUUUGGUAUAGUGAGAACUGAGCUCCUGUCUUACAAUCAUGUGUGAUUACUUUCUUCCAAUAUAUUGCCUGUGUAAGUAGUUUACUUUGCUUAUUUGUUCCCUCCCCAUUUGCCCUUAUUUGUGUGACGCUCUGUUGUUCUAAAAUUGGUCAGUCUAAAUGCCUUUCAAAAGAACUCUUGCAACUCUUUCAACUAUUUUCUUAAACUGUCUCACCCACUUGCAACUCUUUCAACUAUCUUCUUAAACUGUCUCAACGUUUUCAACUCUUUCAACUGUUUUAUCAAACUGUAUCUCAAUUGUUUUUACUCUCUUAAUUCUAAUCACAAUCUUAUUCUUAGAGCUUUAGGGUCUUCCCCCUUAGUGUAAGCAUUUCCUUGGGAGCCUUGAGCACCCAUUGAGCACAAGGCUGGCACUUCUACACUUGAACUUGUCCAAUUGGGAUUUUGGAUGCUUGGUAUUGGCCAUGGGUUCAAAAGAACCCUUAGGGAACUUUGCUGCACCCAAGCCUUGGUAAUGGCUGUGAAACUCGAAAGAAGUGAGGCUGGAGAUCUUGGGCCUGGCUGUAG
Molecule: long non-coding RNA, 2651 nt
Filed under: Nicotiana benthamiana
Lineage: Eukaryota; Viridiplantae; Streptophyta; Magnoliopsida; Solanales; Solanaceae
Description: long non-coding RNA (NBEN_LNC018131)
Source: RNAcentral